GAGCGAUUUCGAUUUCGAUUUCGAAGAUCCAAAACACCAUUUGCACCGUUGUCUACUAAGGGCCGUGAAUCAUUCGUUUCAUAUGAAAGUCUUGAGCAGCUUCACCGUUUCUUGUUUGUUCUUGGUGUUACCCAUGUAUCAUAUAGCUUUUUUGCCAUUGCCUUUGCCAUGAUCAAAAUUUAUAGCUGGAGAACAUGGGAAAAUCAAGCGAAGUCGAUGGCUCCGCAGGAACUAAAAGGUGCGAAAAGUUUUAUAGGGGUGAUUUUGUUCUUCUCCUUUUUGAAGUACCCUUUAUCUUUUAAGAGUUUAGUUCAGAUGUUCUUCAUUAGAAAAUUUCUAUCAUGCCAUAUUGAAAUUUUAAUCUAGGUUCCCCGCAAUCUGCCUCAAACCACACAAAAAUGAGGCGACUAUCAACUUUCAUUUUUCACCACACAUCCCAUCCAUGGAGCCAGCAUAGAGUUCUUGCUUAGGUGGUAAUGCACCUUUUUAAAUUAUUGUGUCUUUGCGAUGUUAAAAUGUGUCAUUUUUGUUGUUGUUGUUAUUUAUCUAUUCAAUUGGGAAAUGAAUUUGCUGGUAUACUACUAAACAUCCUAAAAAUGUGAAAAUGCAGCUCAAGUAAUGAUUAGCUGAGGGUCUUACUUGAACAUGCUUCCAGUUGCUUUGGGGUGGUAAAAUGAAUAUGAAGCCUAAGAGAAGUUGUAGCUGCUGAAAGACGACCUAGGGCAUUCAAUAUGAAAGGAUAAAAAGGGCUUCUUGUUGUAAAUAUGAUCAUAUUUCUUGAGAAGGAAAAGUAAAUGCAUUUUGUUAGGUACUGAUGGUCACAAAUGGUUUAGAUGAUUAGAUAAGAAAGAUUAGUGUACCAUGCGGAUAAAAUCAUCAAAAAAUAAUUAGGAUAUGGUUUGUGGUUCCCUUGAACUUGAAUGGCUCCAUAGGCUUGUUAGAUAAAAUUUAAAUAAAGAAUUUUAUCUUCUUGAAUAGAACCCUAGGGG
Molecule: non-coding RNA, 989 nt
Organism: Camellia sinensis
Lineage: Eukaryota; Viridiplantae; Streptophyta; Magnoliopsida; Ericales; Theaceae
Source: RefSeq, a predicted model, not a curated record